RNAcentral lists this small RNA (28 nucleotides) under Bombyx mori (domestic silkworm). Its description in RNAcentral is "ovarian small RNA-18990". The record is from RNAcentral. Lineage: Eukaryota; Metazoa; Arthropoda; Insecta; Lepidoptera; Bombycidae.
UAACUCGCUCGGGCUGACAGCUAACAAU